AAAGCACUGGCUGCUAUUGUAAAUGGCUCCUAAAAGAGCUAAAGAGCAUUCACAUAUGAGCAACAAUUCUACCUCUAGGUGUUUACCCAAGAGGAUUGAAAAUAAGUGUUCAAAACAAAUGUAUUCUUGAAUGUUUAUCAUCUUACUAUUGACAAUAGCCAGAAAAUGGAAACAAGCCACACAUCCAUCAACUGAUGAAUGGGUAAACAAAAGGUCUAUCCAUGUAGUGGAAUAUUAUUCAGCCAUAAAAAGGAAUGAAGUGCUGACUGCUGUCACAGCACCAGAUGGACCUUGAAAAACAUUAGGCUAAGUAAAAGAAGGUAGACCCAACUGCUCACAGGUUAUUUGAUUCCACUUAUGUUAAAUGUCCAGAAGAAGCAAAUCUAUAAAAACAGAAAGCAGAUCAGUAGUUGCCAGUGGCUGGGCAGUGCCUGUAUAUAGCUCCUUCUGAGAGUAGAGAAAGUGUCCAGGAUCAGAUAGUGAUGACCAGUCACUAUCUAAUAGUGAAUGCAAAAUUUAAGAUGGUUAAAAUGGUGAAUUCCAUGUCCUAUGAAUGUUUCCUCCCAAAACAAAAGGCUUUAUGUAUAAAGAGUCUUUGGUCUAGCCCAAGUUUUUUAGCUGGGAAAGUAGAAGCUCACUUCUGGGGGACAUGGCUUUCUGGGGGCCAUGGCCACAGUCCCCAGGACACCAGGGCGCUCCUGGGGGAGGUGGGAAGCAAGGGCGGAUGCUCAGGUAGUGCGGGCAUGCCGGGUUCUGUGAAGAAGGGCCAGCCUGGCCUUGGCUGCAGCAGAGGUGGGGUCCCUGGGCUCCUCCUCGAGUUGCUUCCCAGCUACAGGGGGCUUGCCACAGCCAGUCCAGGCUCACACCCAGACAAGUGGGAUCCAAAAGACAAAACAGGCAUCUCUUGCAUCUCUGUUUAGGAGCAAGACAAGUUUUGCUGGAAGCCCCCUGGCAAAGCCAUCGGCCACGAUUGGGUCACGUGACUCCCUAAGUCCAACGUGGCUGACAGGCUUAGGCCCACGGUGUGCAGUGGAGAGCAUGGGAGGAAUUUAGACACAAAGACCAGUCCCACCGGCCAGGCAUCAGGCAGAGGCCAGGCCAGGAACGUCACGUGGACCUGUGGGAUGAGCAGGUGCUCCAGAUAAGCAGACAAGGAGUGAAGUCCAGGGAGGGCAGCUGAGCCGUGCAUCAGAGCCUAGAACAAGAACGUGGGAACAGGGUUCCAGACCAGGGCUCAGGAUCCCACCCUGUGUGGCUGGCAGCAGGAGGACAGCAUCCCAGCCCAGGCCCUGGGAACAACUGGCUUCCAGCAAAAACUGCAGAAAGAUUCCCCUCCCAGUGCCCCCAGUAGAGCCCCAAAGAAAGUCAGACCUGUCCCCAGAAUGCACACACUUGAACCCAGAGGUCGACACAGCAGUGCCCAGGCACACAGAGUGGAAAACCGGGGCUUCUGAGGAAAGCCAAAUCAUUUUAAAGUUCAGUCCCUGCCUGCACCAUCGGCACAGACUAGAGAUGCCUGGGUGCGUUCCUAGAAUCCUCUGUCCCCCACUGUCCAGUAGACAGGCAUGGGACAGAGAGGUCAGGUCACUAAUUUCUCAGCAGCAGCCGUUACCUAUUUCCAAGGGUGCACACAUCCAUGUGGCCCACUCUGCGGUCCUUGACCAUUCGCUUAUCCCCCGGCCCCUGCACACACCUGCUAUCCACUAGGCACUCUUCUACACAGUGGGGACAUGUUUGUAGACAAAACAAAACCCAUCCCUCUUUUCCCAGACCUUACAGUCCAGUGGGGGUGAUACGCACACAGAUGAUCGAAUUUGUGCCAUGGCAAGUUAAGUUAUUGGUGCUGCAAAGAAACCAGAGCAGGCAGAGGGCACUGGGUGCUUCAACUCCUAAGAAAUCUGCACGGGAAGAUGGCCUGAUGGAGUGCUCUUAACCACAUGAUGACAGCCAAGGCCUGUGCAGAACGCAUGUGGGAAGAGAGAAUGAAGACGGAUGCUGAGCAGAUGUCCCAGAUGUGGCCCGGCAGGCAGUGUCUGUGGGCCCAGGAGCCGGCGGGAGCUCUGAGCCAUGCUCUUGCUGCGUGCCAGGAUGACAGCAUGCUUCCACCCCGCUGUUGACUUGCACACCACAAUGACGAGUUUUCUGCUGAUAAAGCCAGAAUUCAAUCUUAUGGGUGUGGCCAGACCGAUGGCAGGUCAGAGGCUAAGGAUUUUGCCAAUAACACACAGUCACAUCAGAGUUGUUUGGUGCUCUGGUCCGAGUUUGGUUGGCUGCUGCCUCCCUGAUAUUCUACAAAACAGAUCCCCAAGUGGAAAACCACAGAGCACCAGAGAAAGAGCACCAUCUUCAGAGUGCCAAGAAUUUGUCAAAAAACCUGGACUCCCACCACUAACUAGAUAACUUGGAAUUUAUUUAUGCUGAGAAUAAGAAGAUUGUGAGUGACAUCCGCUAGGUGUUCCUUUGUAGCUGUUCCUCCCAGAGCGAUGAUGAAGGCAUUCAGGCAACUUCAGGCAGCCUGACUAACUGAGAAAAGUAAUGCUGCUCACUCAUUGAGAGUCAGGACAGCAAGAAAGGAGAGGAAGGGGAGAGAAGGGAGAGGAAGAAAUGCCAAGACGAUGCGGCAGAAAUCACACAUUCUGAGGCAGGGGCCUAUUUUGAAAGAUGAUGGUCCAGGAUAAAGUUUAUUUCACUUACAAGCACUAACUCAUUCUUUUCAUCUAGCAUUCCACCUAUGGAUUAGCAACAGCAUGACCUCUGUAGGGAAGAUUAACUUGCAGCUACACAGGGAUUCAGCAGAAAGCAGACAUGAGGGGAUUGUUUUGACAGUUUUGAAAUCUAUAUUCUUUGUGGGAAAAGCACUGUUGAAAUCCUGCUGUAUUAAGCCGUUUUGCAUGACUUUCACUAAUUACCUGGGGUUGGAUAAAUUUAUCAAGAAAAAAGGUUUAUUCUGUCUCUUGGUUCCAAAGAUCCAAGGCCAAGGGGCCAUAUCCGGUGUUAUCCUUCCUGCAAGCAGAAUUCCAAGGCUGUGCGUGGAAUCACAUGGCAAGAACAAGGAGUGUGCUCGUGUGUGUGCCUCUUCUGGUCUCUGCCCCUCUCUUUAUAAAGCCACCAGGAUUCAUUCAGUCAUGGGACCCCCACCCCACUGACCUUAUCUAACUCUAAGCUCCCAGAGGCACCACCGUGGUGUGAUGAAGUCUUGACCCUCUAAAACCUCAAGGUGGCAACUAAAGUUCAACACGUGACCCCUUGGAGACACACGCCAACCAUAUGCAACCACAGCACCUGGAAUAUUAAGUAAGUUCUGUGUGAUGAGAGAAAAACUCAGACAAUUAACAUUAGUCACUAACUAAUAAGCGGUUUAAUUUAUAUGUUAAAAGUUAUUCUCUCUGAACCUAGAAGCACACGUAGAAUUUUGAUAGGUUGCUACACAGGCAGUCUGUGCUAGUCAGGAGGCAGCGCAUCCAUGGACUUUUUGAAAAAGGCAGAAUCUUUGGUGCUGAUGCUGGAGAGAGGACCGGGCUGCCUCCUUCCCUUCCCCUCUCAUCUCUCUUUCUCUCUCUCCCCUCCCUCCUUCCCUCCCUUUCUCCCUCUCUCCUCCCCUCCCUCUCUUCCUCCUCCCUCUCUCUCUCCCUCCCUUUCUCCCUCUCUGCCCCUACCUCUCCCUCCCUCCCUCCUCUCUUUCUCUUUCUCUCUCUCCUCCCUUUCUCCUCCCUCUUUCUCUCUCCUUCCCUCUCUCUGUUUCUCUCUUUUUCUCCCUCCCCCUCCCUCCCUCUCUCCCUCCCUCCCUGUCUUUCUCCCUC
RNAcentral lists this long non-coding RNA (3800 nucleotides) under Marmota monax (woodchuck). The record is from RNAcentral. Lineage: Eukaryota; Metazoa; Chordata; Mammalia; Rodentia; Sciuridae.